Molecule: long non-coding RNA, 2885 nt
Filed under: Gossypium raimondii (Peruvian cotton)
Lineage: Eukaryota; Viridiplantae; Streptophyta; Magnoliopsida; Malvales; Malvaceae
Description: long non-coding RNA (GRAI_LNC010427)
Source: RNAcentral
CCUCAGAAAAAAUAGUUACUAAUAUUUUAUUACCAAUUUAUCCACUUAAAAGCCCAAUGGCCUGAUGGAAAACUUCCCAUCUACCUCCAAUAAAAAUGUCCUGUAGUUGGUCCGAAUGAAAUCUAUAUGAUCAUGAAUCAGAUCUUGGAAUUUCAGUUAGGAAAGGAUCAAAUCUUGGUAAAUCAGUUUGGUCAGGAUCUGAUCUUGGUAUAACUAUUAAAAUACCAGAGUUUGAAAUCAUUGUAUUAAAUCAAAGGUAAUAACGAGUUUGCUUAUAGAGCCUUCACAAAAGCAUAAAAAAAUACACACGAAAUCGGCAUUGCUUCAUUGCUUAAUUGCGAUAAAUAGUAAAAUUAUCCAGUACCUGAAGUUGUGGUACAAAAAUGCAACCGGGAGCUGAUAUUGUUCAUCUAUAAAUUUAAAACUCGAUUCAAACUGUAGAUACCAAAGACAGAUAUGCAUAAACACAAUUCACCUUUCAUCAUCCCAGCUACAAAAUACUCAAAUUCUAUGGUCUUCUCAACUCGUUUCUUUAGAGAAGAUAACUUCUAAGGCAAGACAAACAAGUAAUUGUGGCGUUUCCAGGAUCAAAAGGCAUGGGAAAAAGCCAAUAAUCAGGAUAACCACAGAUUUCAAUAUAGCGUUUAAGCCACUAUGCCAAGAGGAACUAAUUAUCCCCCAGAACUGGUAAUAGACGCUUUCUCUAAUCCAUUAAUUUACAACUAAAUUACAAAACAAAGGUUCAAAGAAUUUGAUGGAAACCAUAAUAAUGGGGAUUAAGGGCUCAUUGGAAGAAGUCGAUAAAAAAAAGAGGGCACACGGCAAAUCUUCCACAAAAUGAAAGACCCAAUCCAUUGCCCGUUCUUAUCUCAUCAUAUUCCCUUUUUAAACUCAACUAAAAUUAAAAAAAUCCAAAAGAAUUUUUCGAUUAAUAUUAGGAAAGGCUUCGGUGUGUGUAACAAUCAGAUCAUUGAUGGCAAUAUCUCACUGAAAUCCGCUAAGACAAUUUUAAAUUAUCAUCAUUAGCCUCCACCAUUCAACAGAUAAAAACCCUCCCCCAAAGAAAACCAUAACUAACAAAAAAAACUUUAAAAAAAAAAGAAUAAAGAAGGUUACUCAGACAGCCAAGGGUUAGUCUUCAACUACUGGGAAAACCCAGAUCAGAAACUCUAGUCCACAAAAAAUUGCAUCAUCAUUGCAAUCUUCUUUAUAUUUUCAAGAAAAGAAAAACCAUUGCAAAACUUGAAAAGCACAAACAAAGAUAGAUAACAGAAAACCAUAAGCUACUUUAUGACCUAUCAAGAUAGUUAACAGAAAUCACCGCCUUGAGAGUGGUGCACCCAUAAUGAGCAAGCAUCCACUCCACUGCCUAACAAAAUUCAUCUCAACUUCAAAAUAUGAGCCAACUGAAUUUCUUAGAAAAACAAAGAAACAAGUUCCUAAUCUUCCCAAAACAAACAUUGUCCCAGCACCUUAAAGGAUACCCUUAAAUCCAAAACUCAACCUACGCCAUUCUCAUCAUCUUCUUCACAGUAAAAGAAAGGUAAGUUUCUUCUUGUUUAGAUUAAGCAAUUUAUGUUUUGGGUCUGAUACCAAAGAUAAAUGAAUAAUCAAUUUCGAGUUCACUAUUCAAAUCCAAUUUCGAAUCAUAAAACAAAAUCCCACACAUUUUCCAAUUUCGAAUCAUAAAAGAAAACUAAGAUGUCUAGAAGAAAGAUCGAAGAAUAUACACCAACAAACAUUCUCCAUUAUCUAAGAUCGUUUAAUUUACAAAGUCCCCCAGUUCAGACAAAAUACUCAAUUUAUAUCGUCUUCUCAACUCCUUUCUUGAGAGAGGAUAAUUCUCAAGGCAAGAAAUACAAGUAUUUGUGGCGUUUCCAGGAUCAAAAGACAUGGGAAAAGCCAAUAAUCAGGAUAACCACAUAUUUCAAUAUAGCGUCUGAGCCAUUAUGCCAAGAGGAACUAAUUAUCCCCCAGAAUUGGUAAUAGACGCUCUACUUAAUUACCCAUUAAUUUAAAACUAAAUUAUAAAACAGAAGGUUUAGAGAUAUUAAUGGAAAAAAUGGGAUUUUAGAGCUCAGUGGAAGGAGAAGUCGUUUAAAAAGAGGGCUCACGGCAGAUCUUCAAAAAUUGAAAGAUCCAAAUCCACUGCCCAUCAACACUUAAGUGUUUUUACCUCAUCAUAGCAAAAAUCAAAUCCCCCUUUAUUUCCUCUGAAUUGAAUUUAAAAAAAAUCAAAAUCCAAAAGGAUUUUUGGUUUUACUAAAAGGAAAGGCCUCAGUGUGUGUAACAAUCAGAUCAUUGACAAUAAUAUCUCACUGAAAUCCGCUAAGACUAUUUUAAAUUAUCAUCAUUAGCCUCAACUCCACCAUUCAACAAAUCCAAACCCUCCCCCAAAGAAAACCACAACUAACAAAAAAACCUUUGAAAAUAAAUAGAAUAAAGAAGGUUACUCAGACAGCCAAGGGUUAGUCUUCAACUACUGGGAAAACCCAGAUCAGAAACUCUAGUCCACGAAAAAUUGCAUCAUCAUUGCAAUCUUCUUUAUAUUUUCAUGAAAAGAAAAAUCAUCGCUUAACUUGAAGAUAACAAUUGAAAAGCACAAACAGAGAAAAAACAUAAAAGAGAAAAUUGAAAAAUACUUGCCGAUCUAAACUUUUUUUUUUUGAUGAAACAAACAACGCCGAAGAGGAGAAGAAGAGAGGUGAGACUAUUGAUGGGAAGGGUGGUUCAAAGGAGAAUAUAUAUAGUGCGAGUGAGACCUGAAAUUAGGGUUUUUCAAAGAGUAUUAUUAUGUUUGGGCUAGGGUUGACUGAUUUCAGGGAAUUGGUUGUCGGCUGAAAACUGAACCCGGUUCAAAGGUUUUGGAUAACAACCGUUAUGGC